CGUCGCCGCGGGAAAACGAAGGGUGCAAGCGUUAAUCGGAAUUACUGGGCGUAAAGCGUGCGUAGGCGGUGAGUUAAGUCUGCUGUGAAAUCCCCGGGCUCAACCUGGGAACUGCAUUUGUGACUGGCAAGCUAGAGUGUGGCAGAGGGGGGUGGAAUUCCGCGUGUAGCAGUGAAAUGCGUAGAUAUGCGGAGGAACACCGAUGGCGAAGGCAGCCCCCUGGGCCAACACUGACGCUCAUGCACGAAAGCGUGGGGAGCAAACAGGAUUAGAUACCCCUGUAGUCCCUGUCUCUUAUACA
RNAcentral lists this ribosomal RNA (301 nucleotides) under uncultured bacterium. RNAcentral's name for it is "partial 16S ribosomal RNA". It matches the Rfam family "Bacterial small subunit ribosomal RNA", at positions 510 to 808 of the family's 1533-position model. The record is from RNAcentral.